Molecule: non-coding RNA, 2015 nt
Organism: Nitzschia inconspicua
Lineage: Eukaryota; Bacillariophyta; Bacillariophyceae; Bacillariales; Bacillariaceae
Source: the annotation of a GenBank genome assembly
AGUUAUUACAGCACUAAAAGGAUACUUAAGCAAUAAGAGUUUUAUAUGGACGUUUUCUGACGAAAUGUUGCGUGGAGUAUACUAGUACUGAGAAAUGCAAUUUUCCAUAAAUUCGACAAAUCGAUCUUCAACUGAUAGAAGAAUUGUUUAAAAAGUUUUAAACAAAAAAUUUGGUGAAUUGAAUCAUCUAAGUAGCCAAAACUUAAAAUCAACCGAGACGUUGUCAGUAGUGGCGAGCGAACGCAAUCAAGACUAAAAAACUUAAAUAUUUUAUUUAAUAAUUAAUAGCCAUAGAAGGUAGCCUAUGGAUAGGAUAGCCCUGUAAAAUAAAAUUUUAGUUUUUGUUUAGUAAAAUAGAUCAAGUCAUGAUCCAUUUGAAUACUGAGGGCCCACCCUCAAAGUCUAGGAAUCUUAUUGACUGAUAGUGGAAAGUACCGUAAGGGAACAGUGAAAAAGACUUUGCGAAAGUGAAAAGACUUUGAAAUUUAGUGCUAACAAUCUGUCGUAGUUUUUAAAAUGAUGACGUACCUUUUGCAUAAGUGCGACACGAAGUGUCGUCUUUCAUUUCCGUGAGAUCCGGACAACAAGUUUAUUUUAGUGGCGAGCUUAAAUAGUUAGAGUAUGGAGGCACAAAGAAAUUAAGUUUUAAAUUGCUGUUUAGUCGCUAAAAUAAGACCCGAAACUAAGUGAUCUAAUCAUGAACAGGUUGAAGUUUAGGCGGAAACGCCUUUCGGAGGACCGAACCCGUGUGUGUGGAAAAAUACUGGGAUGAUUUGUGAUUAGGGGUGAAAGGCUAAUCAAACUUAGAGAUAGCUGGUUUUCUGCGAAAUCUAUUGAAGUAGAGCGUUUAAAGAACUUUGUUAAGGGUAGAGCUCUCGAUAAACAAUGGGGGUUUAACGCUUUACUGAGUUUAUUGAAACUUCGAAUAUUAAUUUAAUGACUUUAAACAGACAGACUAUGAGUGCUAAGAUUCAUGGUCAAGAGGGAAACAGCCCAGACUAUUAACUAAGGCUCCUAAAAAUAAUUAAGUGAUAAAAUUGUGAAAAAAUGUGAACAAUCGAAAGGUAAGCUUAGAAGCAGCUAUCCUUUAAAGAAAGCGUAACAGCUCAUUGGUUUAGUUUUUUUGCAUUGAAAAUGUAUGGAACUAAAAUUGUUUGCCGAAGUUGUAGAUUUAUAGAUUAAAUGGUAGCAGAACGUUCUGUAGAUUUAAGAAGUUUUAUAGUGAUAUAAAAUGGAGAUAUCAGAAAUGAAAAUGUUGGUAUGAGUAACGACAAACAAUGUGUGAAACAUUGUCGCCUUAAGUUCAAGGUUUCCAAAACAAGGCUAAUCCGUUUUGGUAUUUUCAUUGUUAAUCGGUCUCUAAGGAUAAAAACGAAAGUUUUAGUCUAAUGAGGCAAAAAUAAUUUUUUAUUUUUUAAAAGUGACAGAAUGUAAAUAUGAUUUUUAUUUGAUGGUUAUAAUAAAAGUUGUAGAGCAUUUUCUAGAAAUAGCUUUUAAUAGUGUAACCGUACCCUAAACCGACACAGGUGAACAGGUUUAGUAAACUAAGGCGCUUGAGAUAAUUAUGUUGAAGGAAUUCGGCAAAAUGACUCCGUAACUUCGGAAUAAGGAGUGACUUAAGAAGGGUAACCUUUUUAAGUUGUCACAAAAUCGGGGACAGCGACUGUUUAUUAAAAAAUACUAUUAUCGCAUCCUGGAGCUGUAGGUGGUUCCAAGGGUUUGGCUGUUCGCCAAUGAAGGCGGUACAUGAUCUGAGUUUAGAACGUUGUGAAACAGUUUAAAAAAUUGAGAGGAGUAAACCUUAGUACGAGAGGACCGGGAAAAGUAAAUCCAUGGUGAAUCGAUUGUUAUACCAAUAGCAUAGUCGAGUAGCUACAUUUAUAAUAAAUAAUCACUGAAAGCAUCUAAGUGAGAAAUUAGCCUCAAAACAAAUUUUUUAAAAAUGUAAAAGAGUAUUACGUAGAUAGGCUUGGUGUGUAAGAAUUGUAAGAUUUUGAGCUAACAAGUACUAAAUU